UCUGGCAUUAGGGCACGUAAGGUUUCGCACUGAGCGUGUGUUUCAAUAUGGGCCAUGCCACGUGAAUUAAGUAGGACAGACAGACAGUCAGGAGUGGCACCACAAAGUCACUGACUCCAUUACCUCUUACAGUAGAUUAGUGUCAACAGGUCCAUUCAUCUGUUUACAGACACAGAUCAAAUGACUGAAACGAGAGCACUGUUCUCCUGGACAUCCUCCACAGAGUAAGACACACACAGAGUUGGGGUGGAUUACAUGACAUUACUGGUUGUAGAAUGAGACUGAACAGCCCCAGGACAAAGAGAGCUCUUUCUGUUUGGUUAGCUUACAUAGGAUGUCAAAGGGUGCAAUGACACUAAAACAUACGUGAGGUGCCUGUUGAUCUGUUGACAGAUCGUCAGUAGGACUCGGCAGCUGUCUCACCUUGCAUUAGGAGAGACAGCAGCCCCAAGUGCAAACAGCCACUCUCAUCGCUGGACAGAGGAGAAAAAGUGAUGACGGUAGCAUUAACAAAAACAGACCAAUAAAGUGUGAGGACCUUUGAGUAGUGAGGGAGCAGGGGCCUAUAAAUGGACAAACAGACAGGAGAAGAGCCAGUUUACAGGCCAACGCUCCUCCCUUUUCACUAUUAUUCUCUUGCCUUACUCCACUAAUCCAAACACCUGGAGGGUAGGGAGGAGGGAGGAGGGGGAAGAGACGGCCCCACGUGACUGGGAGCUCACAUGCAGCGUUACGCAACGUGUUACUGUAACACCUUGACUGGAGCCAGGGAGGUUAAGUAAAGCAGGACCUGCUCGGCACAAUCUGCCAAGGGCACGGGAGGGGGCGGCGGGCCAGCUGGUGGGGUGACAUCAAGUCUAAGAAGUCAUGUAUCAGCUGGUGUGUGCCACCAUAUGGGUUGUGUGCUGGAGUCAGAGCAGUUCCCCAGCAGCUGCAACCCACUCCAUAAUCAAGACCUCUACAAAUACUCAGUCCUGCCACUUCCACUCUACCAGAUCGUAAUCUCUGUUCAUUUUGCCUCUCUGACUCUGGUUCCUGUCUCCUGUUCCACAUCUCACCACCCUGCUACCCUGUUCUGGACUCACCACACCACCACUCCCUUGGAUUCCCCUCCGGACCUGUUUACCCUGUCCCAACCCAGCUCACUCCAACCUCAGCCUCCACAUCUGGUUUCCUACAACUCUUCAGAGCUUCCCUGGAUCUGCACUUCAUCUCUCCCUGUGUUACAAUAAAUAUCUUGGUUCAUUCAUCCCUGUUUCCUGGUCUGAGUCUGCUCUUGGGUUCCCUUGUGCUGCUCUGCAUAACACAGCAUCACUCUGUUACUGUGGAAUUGUCUGUAAGAAAGAGUACAAGGUAA
Non-coding RNA from Salmo salar (Atlantic salmon), 1357 nucleotides. Lineage: Eukaryota; Metazoa; Chordata; Actinopteri; Salmoniformes; Salmonidae. The record is from RefSeq and is a predicted model, not a curated record.